GAUACCCUAUUAUUUUAGAUGUUAUUAUUUUUCUAUAAUUAUUAUUAGUUAAGUUCUUUAAAAUUAAACAAUUUGGCGGUAUCUUAGUCUAUUCAGAGGAACCUGUUUUUUAAUCGAUAGUCCACGAUAAUUUUUACUUUAAUUUUAAAUUUAUAUAUCGUCGUUAUUAAGAAUUUUAGGAGGAUUGAAAUUUUUAGGAUUCUUUAUUAGGAAUAAAUUCAGAUCAAGGUGUAGUUUAUAUUAAAGCUAAAAUGGGUUACAUUUCAUUUAUGAGUGGUUCUUUUUUAAAAAUUUUUUGAUAAAAUGGAUUUGAUGGUAAAUUUUUUAAUUAUGGAAAUUGAUUUAGCUCUAAGAUAUGCACAUAUCGCC
Molecule: ribosomal RNA, 369 nt
Filed under: Blaps gibba
Lineage: Eukaryota; Metazoa; Arthropoda; Insecta; Coleoptera; Tenebrionidae
Description: partial 12S ribosomal RNA
Source: RNAcentral